AUUAAGGAGCAGGCUCCAGGAAUAUAAGUCAACAACAGAACUCUAAACAUAUCCAAAUUGAGAUUGGCUCUUUUCUAUUACUAGAAAGGUGUUUUUAGCAGAGGGUUCUCAAUAUCAUGCUAAGUAACAGAAAUUUCAUAUGAAAAAGGAAAUUCUCUUGAAUCUCACCUCCUUAAAAUAUAUUGUUUAACAAAAAGGUAUAACGGAUAGAUCUCAGGAGGCAGAAGUCUGAAUACUUAGCCUAUUUGUACUUCAGUAUAAAGACUGCUAUUUUUCUGGGAUUUUUUACCAAGUUUUUUAAAUUCCACUCUUGUCCCCAUGUAAAAUGACUAUGAAAAUGGUGUAGCUAAAGAAAAAAAUGGGUGAAAUUUAAAGGAACUAACUAAGGAAUAAAAGUGUAGGUUAGGAAGAGGGAUAUAUGUAAACAAAUGCUGGCAUAUAGAAGAGCAAAGAAAAAUAUGUGAAGACACACCUGAGGGCAAAAGGCUGAAGGCAACCAAAAUUGGCUGGACAUAACACUGACAGAAAUAGAAGCCCAGGAAAGACAGAGAGUAAAGGAGAAAUUUGAAUAACAUUAAUAGGUAGGAAAAUGCACGUUGUAUGGGCUGAAGUAAUCCUAAUGCUAUAAUGAGCCAUGAAAUAGAAAGACAAUAUUUCCUUUAUCCAUAGUUUUAUGAAAAUUACAGAUGGACUACAAUAUGAAAAACAAAUAGACUUAAAUUCCAUAAUAGGUAUAGAAAGUGACCAAUAGUGACAUUUGUAUUAUUUAAGCUCACAAAAGGGUCCUUAAUAACUUUAGAUUAUACCAUUUAAAAAUUUUUCAACUUUAGAAAAUAUCUUAAAUUCCACUUUUCUACCUAUUUGCUUUAGUUUUUAAAAUUAUGAAAGUGCCAAGCAAAUAAUCUAUAGGAGGUGAAUAACAUCACUUAUUUGAAUAAUAGUAAUUAAAAAAGAACCAGUUGAUAGUGCAUUCAUUCUAAUGCCACCUGCACCGAAUCAACAAUUGUAACAUCUAAACCCAGGUGUUGGUAUCAUCUCUGACCACGGAAUUGGAGCCCUUCAUCUCUGACCAUGGAAUUGGAGCCCUUUCUAUAAGGAGUACAUUCUUAGAUAGGACAACAGGAUGUGAAAUGAUAUGAAGAUGUCUGUGCCAGCACUUAGAAGGAAAGUGGGAAAAAUCUUAGUUCUCCUAAAAGCUCUUUCUAAAUGUAGAUUCAUUGGUGAAAACCUGUAACCUACUAGUCAUAGAAGCAUUUAGGAAUUGAAGACAUACAGUGCAAUGCCUACCCUCACAAUAACUAUUUGACUACUAUACAACUAUUCGAGUUUAGCUACCAUGUUUUUUUAGUCAUGCUUUUUUUUUUUUUCCUUUUCCUUUGACCUCUUUAUAAUUGUGAGAUAAUCAUGUAGAGAAAUAUCUUGGCUAGAUCUAGGCUGAGUGUGGGCAGGUGCCAUGUAAGCAUUCCACACAACUCCACAAAUACACCCCAAACUCUCCACAUCUCAAUCCUUUGAUGGCCUCCAGCUGACACUACCUCUAACGUUUUCACUUAUGUUUCCCACACAAUUUCAGGUCUCAGCAUUUCCUGAGAAUACGUAGUUAUGGUCAAACUCCCUCUUCUGAUAAAUCCUGAAAAAAAAGGUGGGGGUGAGGGUAGGAAAUGGAUAAUUUUGCUGCCAACACAAGCAGAACUAAUAUGUCCUGUUUCUAAAAUAUUCUAAUAUCUGGCAGCAUUAACCCAGAAGAUUAUGUUUUUAAUAUCAGUGUACAUAAGCCCUUCAGCAGAUAAACUCAGAGGAUGAAGAGGAGGAAGAGAAGGAGAAUGAUGGUGUUGAUGAUGAUGGCUAACGUUUUCAGUACUUGUGCCAAGCAUUGCUCUAGGUGCUAGUUAUAUAUUAUCUCACUUAAUCCUCACGCAUUCAAAAAAAACGUCCUUGUUAGGGAAAAUUAUUUUUAUCUUCAUUUUACACAGGAUACUGGGACACAGAAAGAAGCUGUUUAAAGCAGUUUAAACAUAACUAGCUCAUUUAAAGUUAAAACAUAAAACUUCAAACCAACUGACCAAUAUUUUGAUGUAGUACCAAGGGCUGCCAUUGAAUCUUGAUCUGCUAAGUUACAUUCUUCUUGGUUAAACUGUACCACAAUGUAUCAUCUAUUUAAAGUCAAUGAGAAUUUACAGGUUUUGGUUUAUUAAGUCAGUGAAUGCUUACAGAGACUUGCAAAAGCAAGUUGAAUUCAGGAUCCUUCCUAAUAUUUACAUUCAUCUCCUACCCCCACCCCAGGUGAACUUUCACUGUUGUCUAGCCAACACUUAGUUAGACUCUAAUUUGUUUUAGUGAUUCACCCGUAAAAAGUCUUUCCACAGCAGUCAAUUGAAAUUUCAUAAAAUCGACAACCAUUCAUAGUGUAUACUCAUAUUUCACAAGUUUGCAUAAUUAAGUUACAAUUGCACAUUCAACUGGCAUAAACAAAUUUUAAAACAAACAACAAUGACUCCAGGUAAGCAUAACAGUAGGUAAAUAGAUAAACAGAAAUACACCAUAUUUCAGUUUCCUAUUGGCCCAAAGCAGGGAUUGGCUAAGAGAACUUCCACUAUAUUCAUAUCUUCCCUAAUCAUGAAAAAUACUGCUUAAUAAGUAUAUUAUGUUCCUGGAAGAAUGGAUUUACAAUUGAAAAAUACAAUCAAAUUUGAUAGAGGGGUUUACAAUAACAACAAAAUUCUAUACUAGAAAUGUAAUAUAUUCUUUCUUAUGUUCCUUAAAUAGAAAUCCUAGGAGACUCCUUCUCUGAUAAAAACCAGUCAUAAAAUCCUGUCCCAAACUUAAUUAAGUAUAAGAAAGAACUAUACUCAAUACCUUGUAAUGACCUGUAAUGGAAAAGAAUCUGAAAAAAGAACAUACACACACAUAUAUAACUAAAUCACUUUUCUGUACACCUGAACGCAAUACAAAAUUGUAAUUCAAUUACACUUCAAUUAAAAAAUUUUAAAAUGCACCUAAAAAACAAGAAAGAAAAGUUCUGUUGUGGUGUAGUGGGUUAAGGGUCUGGUGUAGUCCCUGCAGCCACUUGGGUCCCUGCUGUGGCACUAGUAUGAUCCCUGGCCUAAGAAAGUCCACAUGCCAUGGGCAUAGUCAAAAAAAAAAAAAAAGGAAGAGGAAGACCAGCAGAGGUUUAGCAGAGGAAACCAUCACAUUAUGUGGGAAAAACUAUAAUUUUAAACUUCAGGUUACUACUUGAUUGAUGUGAGGUAAGUCACUUCACUUCCUUGAGCUGUGGUGUCCUUAGGUCACUUUGUCGUACAACAGAACAUGAAAAAACACCGUAAAUCAACUUAUACUUUAAUAAUAAUAAUAAAAUUAAAAUAAAAACAAAAAGGAGACAAUACUUAUUCUCUCCCUUUCACAGAACUAUAGUCAGAAUUAAGUAAAAUAAAAUAUAUGAAAACACUCUGCAAACCAUUUGUCAUCAUACACAUAUAAGCUAUUGCUCCUGGACAUCCUAGCUUGUAUAGAGCUUUAGUCAGGGAGGUCAUAUCUCAAAUGAUGAGGCUGAGAACCAAAAGCCUAAAUUACUUCCCUACUUAUAGUGGUAUGGAUAACAGAGCAGAAAUAGAGAAUCCUUGAAUAACCUGGAAAAGAAUAUCAUAGUCAUAGAAGUGGGAUCAACUAGGGAUUCAAGAAAGUCAAAGUGCUCAGAAGGAGCUAAUACUGCAGUGUAGACUGUGAAGAGAGAGAAAACUUUAAAAGCUGGGCAAUUUCAUACAAUAAGUUCUGGUAGUUACUUUGUUAAAAAUAUUAGAGGAGAGCUAGAAAGACCAACUCCCCCAAAAGUUCAACCAUACCAGACACAGACUAUUAUUUCAUCUUAUAUAACAAAAUGCCGAUGCCUUUUCAAACUAAAUAAAAUUGUGAAUUUGAGAUAAUUCUCUUAUUUGUGCUAUUCCCUUCUACUGGUCAGAGUAAUUAACCAUAGGUUAGGAAGUUAAGAAAACAAUAGGAUGGACUUCAGUAAAGUUCAAGUACUUUAAUUGGAUUGCUGUGGUACAGUUUGUUUCCCUUUUUCUCUAGCCAUUAAUCCAGCAGGGGAAAGUGAUCUAACACAGCACCAUGGCACGAAGGGAGGGACCCUGAGAGCCUGUCUCUAUGAUGACUGUUCUUGUGCAUCCAGGCCGCCUAUUGAAACUAACAAUGCCUGCUGCUGCUGCCGAAGAGGAUCAUCCAAACUCUGAAAAUGAAACACAGCACACAAAGGGAUGAAAGAAUUCUUAUUCCACGGGGUUUAGCUUGCAGCUGGUCAUGCAUGCCAGAGGGAUGUGCCAUGAGGAUGAGAAAGAAGCUUCCAAAGAGAAUGGCUGGGGCAUUUUGAAAUACUUGGGGAGUUAUUCUUUUGAAACUAAGGCAAAUAACUAGACUUCUUUACAGCGUAACUUGAGAAGAACCUUUCUUUUUUUCUUUUUAUCACUGCAAUUCACCCAGGUGAGAAUAUUCUUGCCAUUAAAAGAAAUUUAGACAUUUUUUUUGGGGGGGGAUGCCUGUGGCAUACAGAAAUUCCUGGGCCAGGGAUCAAACCCCAGCCACAGCAGUAAGAAUCCUUAACCACUAGACCCCAAGAGAACUCCCAAAACUUAGAUAAUUUCUAAUUGAUUAUACUUGUGUGUAGUUAGUUCCUCAUUUAUAAUAAGAGAUGAUAUUAUAUAAUUGAUUUUUUUCUCUGUUCUAGAGCUUAAAGUCACUUUGGAGUUUAAAACUGUAUGCAGUAAUACAUGUUGGGUUUUUCUAAAAUUGAUGCAAGUACACUGAAUAAUAUGCUAGUUAAAAAAAUAACUCACUGUUUAGGACCACAGACUUUGAGGUUAGAUCAGUGGUGAAACUGAUGUGAUCUUUAUUACAUGGCAUCAGGCUCCAUGGCUCUAACAACCUGGAAUAACUGCGCUGAGUAAUCCUGCCCACAAAAGGUGUUCCACAUAGAGUUAAAAUUAUAGGAACCUUCCCUGCAGUCACCAUUGCUCCUGGCCUCUCCACUGGUCUCGGCAAAGCAUAAUACAGUUUUUCAGCUGCCCUGGACAUUACUGUGUAAAGUAGUUUCAAAAACAGCACCUAGAGCUUUGAAGAGAUUUGCCACAGUAAGACAUUAGUCUUCCUUGAUAAACUCACUCCUACCAGUCAGAAGCAGAAUUGCCUGCCUUCCUUAGCCUUUUCCUCUAAGUUUACUUACUUAAGUUCACCCUCCUCUGUUUACUGGAUAAAAGAGAGACUCCUUUCAUUGCACACACUAGACUUAGCGAUCUAUUUUUGCCUAUUAAACUACUGAUUCCAAAUAACUCUUCCAUAACUAGAUGUGCAGCUUUAUAGAAGUUAUUUAUAAUCUAAUUUAGCCUUAGAUUCUUCAUUGAUAAAAUGUAAAUAAUAUCUGCCUUGUGAGACUGUUGUGAAGAAUACUAUUUAACUCAUAGUUCAGGAUCAGCACAAAGGAUGAAUCAAUAAAUGGUAGUCAUUGUUUUGUGACCUUCUCUAUCACAGGAGUAACAAAUACUUUACAUAAGAAACUAAAAUGAGAAAUGGAAUGUAAUAUCAAAAAUAUUCCCCUACCUUGUCAGUAUUCUAUUGUUGAUUCAAGCAUUGUGUCAUUCUUCUCAGGUUAGAUCACACUUUACAAGAAGCAUUACUUCCUUGGAGGAUUGAGUAAAUAGAAAUUAUUGGGAGAAAAAUUUCCUUUCCACAUAUUCAAUCCAUUAGUUCUAACUGAUGUCCCUCAGACCACUGUAAACAAGUUCUUGUUACAAGAGGUUUAACUUUUCAAAUAGCUACUUAUAUUUUAUACAUAAAUGUUUGGCAUUGGAGGGUUUCCAUAACUUUUCUGUUUCUUGUUCUCUCACUUCUACUACAGCUUCCCCUCUCUCAGUGGCUCUUUUAACUUCUCUCAAAAAGAGAAG
RNAcentral lists this long non-coding RNA (5933 nucleotides) under Sus scrofa (pig). Its description in RNAcentral is "lncRNA (ENSSSCG00000061805.1, ENSSSCG00025077732.1)". Lineage: Eukaryota; Metazoa; Chordata; Mammalia; Artiodactyla; Suidae. The record is from RNAcentral.